AAGAAUCGACUGAGAAUCUGAAGGAAUUUAUGGCGAUGCGUCUUCUUUCCCUGGUGCCUUCUGACUGAUCCUUCUACCUAGCUCUUCCAAUGGGGACAUUUUACCUACCUCUCAGUUCUGUGCAAAAAUCAGGCCAUUGAGAGGGGAGGAUUCAGGUGAGUCUAUGUCUGUGUGUGGUUGCUCCAGAACCAGAAGAAAGUGCCCAAGGGAAAUUUCUAUACCUCGUUCAGUUUAUGAAGUACAGUGAUCACAUGAUGAACCCAAACAACUGGGACAAAGAGAUGAGUGAGAAAAUGGAAAUGAAACCAGAAUGUGAGCAUGUUGAAUGAAUUGGACUCCCCAGAGAUUUGGGGGAGAAGAAAACCUCCCACUCGCCUUUGACUUUUGGAUUUCUUGUUUCCUUCAUGUUUGGAUUGCACUUUGAGAAGUCCAUCUGGAAGUUCACUUUUUAUAUUUUGCAAAUGCAAGUCAAGCUUAUUAUCAAAAGACAAACCUUACAGGAAGCAAAACAGUGGAUGGGGGUGGGGGGAUGUCAGGAUG
Suricata suricatta (meerkat) is the source of this 540-nucleotide long non-coding RNA. RefSeq lists it as uncharacterized. NCBI's taxonomy places the organism in Eukaryota, Metazoa, Chordata, Mammalia, Carnivora, Herpestidae. The transcript has 3 exons. The record is from RefSeq and is a predicted model, not a curated record.